Molecule: ribosomal RNA, 379 nt
Filed under: uncultured bacterium
Lineage: Bacteria
Description: bacterial SSU rRNA
Rfam family: Bacterial small subunit ribosomal RNA
Source: RNAcentral
GACGAACGCUGACGGUGUGCUUUAGGCAUGCAAGUCGAACGAGAAAGCCCUUCGGGUGAGUAAAGUGGCGAACGGGUGAGUAACACGUGGGCAACCUGCCCCUUCGCAGGGGGACGAACCGGAGGAAACUACCGGCUAAUACCCCGUAAGCUCUACACGCCGCAUGGCGAGUGGAGGAAAGGUAGCUUCGGCUAUCCGGCGAGGGAUGGGCCCGCGGUGCAUUAGCUAGUUGGUGGGGUAACGGCCCACCAAGGCGACGAUGCGUAGCUGGUCUGAGAGGAUGAUCAGCCACACUGGGACUGAGACACGGCCCAGACUCCUACGGGAGGCAGCAGCCAGGAAUCUUGGCAAUGGGCGAAAGCCUGACCCAGCAACACCG